This 520-nucleotide ribosomal RNA is filed under the name uncultured bacterium. Its description in RNAcentral is "bacterial SSU rRNA". It matches the Rfam family "Bacterial small subunit ribosomal RNA", at positions 120 to 674 of the family's 1533-position model. The record is from RNAcentral.
GGGAAUCUGCCCUUGGGUUCGGAAUAACAGUUAGAAAUGACUGCUAAUACCGGAUGAUGUCUUCGGACCAAAGAUUUAUCGCCCAGGGAUGAGCCCGCGUAGGAUUAGGUAGUUGGUGGGGUAAAAGCCUACCAAGCCGACGAUCCUUAGCUGGUCUGAGAGGAUGAUCAGCCACACUGGGACUGAGACACGGCCCAGACUCCUACGGGAGGCAGCAGUGGGGAAUAUUGGACAAUGGGCGAAAGCCUGAUCCAGCAAUGCCGCGUGAGUGAUGAAGGCCUUAGGGUUGUAAAGCUCUUUUACCCGGGAUGAUAAUGACAGUACCGGGAGAAUAAGCUCCGGCUAACUUCGUGCCAGCAGCCGCGGUAAUACGAGGGGAGCUAGCGUUAUUCGGAAUUACUGGGCGUAAAGCGCACGUAGGCGGCUUUGUAAGUAAGGGGUGAAAGCCCAGAGCUCAACUCUGGAAUAGCCUUUUAGACUGCAUCGCUUGAAUCCAGGAGAGGUGAGUGGAAUUCCGAGU